AAAUAUCCUAUAUGCCCUUGGAUAUAUAUUUUUUUAAUAGAUAAAUUGAACGUUUAAUAUUAGUUUAUAGUUUAAAUCCAUUUGAAUAAAAAAGUAAAUGAAGAGAGACUCCUCUCUCCUUUUUUUUCUUUUUUUCCUUCACCUUUCCUUUUUCCUUUAUUUUCCUUCUCCUUUCCUUUUUUCUCCACGUUCUCCAUCUGCCUUAUCUCAUUUUCCCCGUCUCCUCUCUUCUGCCGCCCAGCUCCCCAUCGCUGCCUGGCCCUCGGGUCCCCCGGCGCCGCCUCGGCUCGUCGCCAUACCCAUCGCCGCGCC
RNAcentral lists this long non-coding RNA (312 nucleotides) under Setaria viridis. RNAcentral describes it as "long non-coding RNA (SVIR_LNC000295)". Lineage: Eukaryota; Viridiplantae; Streptophyta; Magnoliopsida; Poales; Poaceae. The record is from RNAcentral.